Molecule: non-coding RNA, 108 nt
Organism: Acanthosepion pharaonis
Lineage: Eukaryota; Metazoa; Mollusca; Cephalopoda; Sepiida; Sepiidae
Source: the annotation of a GenBank genome assembly
ACGGUCAUAUCACAUUGAGACACCGGUUUCCCAUACGAUCACCGAAGUUAAGCAGCGUCGAGCUUGGUUAGUACCUAGAUUGGUGACCGCUUGAGAAUACCAGGUACU